CGUCGUACCCCCACGACUUCUCUGUGACUCCUACGGGGAGGCAGCAGUGGGGAAUAUUGCACAAUGGGGGAAACCCUGAUGCAGCCAUGCCGCGUGUGUGAAGAAGGCCUUCGGGUUGUAAAGCACUUUCAGUAGGGAGGAAGGUAGUGUAGUUAACACCUGCAUUAUUUGACGUUACCUACAGAAGAAGCACCGGCUAACUCCGUGCCAGCAGCCGCGGUAAUACGGAGGGUGCGAGCGUUAAUCGGAAUUACUGGGCGUAAAGCGCAUGCAGGCGGCCUGUUAAGUCAGAUGUGAAAGCCCGGGGCUUAACCUCGGAAUUGCAUUUGAAACUGGCAGGCUAGAGUCUUGUAGAGGGGGGUAGGAAGUUUCAGGUGUAGCGGUGAAAUGCGUAGAGAUCUGAAGGAAUACCAGUGGCGAAGGCGGCCCCCUGGACAAAGACUGACGCUCAGAUGCGAAAGCGUGGGGAGCAAACAGGAUUAGAUACCCUGGUAG
Molecule: ribosomal RNA, 495 nt
Filed under: uncultured bacterium
Lineage: Bacteria
Description: bacterial SSU rRNA
Rfam family: Bacterial small subunit ribosomal RNA
Source: RNAcentral